RNAcentral lists this transfer RNA (75 nucleotides) under Pseudomonadota bacterium. Its description in RNAcentral is "Proteobacteria bacterium tRNA-Val". It matches the Rfam family "tRNA". From Rfam's summary of the family: Transfer RNA (tRNA) molecules are approximately 80 nucleotides in length. Lineage: Bacteria; Pseudomonadati; Pseudomonadota. RNAcentral also lists the same sequence under 3 other names. The record is from RNAcentral.
GCGUGGUUAGCUCAGUGGUAGAGCACUACCUUGACACGGUAGGGGUCGCAGGUUCGAACCCUGCACCGCGCACCA